This 497-nucleotide ribosomal RNA is filed under the name uncultured bacterium. RNAcentral's name for it is "partial 16S ribosomal RNA". It matches the Rfam family "Bacterial small subunit ribosomal RNA", at positions 28 to 507 of the family's 1533-position model. The record is from RNAcentral.
GAUGAACGCUGGCGGCGUGCCUAAUACAUGCAAGUCGAGCGAACAGACGAGGAGCUUGCUCCUCUGACGUUAGCGGCGGACGGGUGAGUAACACGUGGAUAACCUACCUAUAAGACUGGGAUAACUUCGGGAAACCGGAGCUAAUACCGGAUAAUAUAUUGAACCGCAUGGUUCAAUAGUGAAAGACGGUUUUGCUGUCACUUAUAGAUGGAUCCGCGCCGCAUUAGCUAGUUGGUAAGGUAACGGCUUACCAAGGCAACGAUGCGUAGCCGACCUGAGAGGGUGAUCGGCCACACUGGGACUGAGACACGGUCCAGACUCCUACGGGAGGCAGCAGUAGGGAAUCUUCCGCAAUGGGCGAAAGCUUGACGGAGCAACGCCGCGUAAGUGAUGAAGGUCUUCGGAUCGUAAAACUCUGUUAUUAGGGAAGAACAAAUGUGUAAGUAACUAUGCACGUCUUGACGGUACCUAAUCAGAAAGCCACGGCUAACUACGUG